AUGAGGAUGACGAGGCCGGCGAGGAUGAGGAGGACGCUGAAGGCGAAACCAGCGAUGGCGGCGCACCACAUCGCCGGGGUGGUCCGGCGCCUCGGCUGCAGAAUGAUCUUGGACGGCGGCGGCGGAUCCGGCGUCGCCGGCUCCUGCUGCUGCUGCUUCAUGCUGAUGAUCUUGGUGACGAUGGUCCUUGGAGACUGGAGGUGGUACGGGGUAGGACUAGGAGUACCCAUUGAUCCCGAGCAGCAGCAGCAACAACCAAUCACCAACGAAACCACAGAGAUGAGAGGAGAGGAGAAGAAGCCAAGCAAGUAUGGUGUCCAAACGGGAAAGCAAAAGGGAGGCCAAGGGAACGAAGUAACGGAGGUAAAAGGAGGCUAA
This 378-nucleotide ribosomal RNA is filed under the name Triticum aestivum (bread wheat). RNAcentral's name for it is "partial small subunit ribosomal RNA". The record is from RNAcentral. Lineage: Eukaryota; Viridiplantae; Streptophyta; Magnoliopsida; Poales; Poaceae.